ACGUUCUUUCUACUGCAGUCGACCACAGACAGACAGAGACACCAAUGGAGAGGCACAUCAGACAACAACUUGUCAUUGAAGUUAGAAUCAUACAGCAGAUAUUAGUCUGUUAGAAAGGUAAUCAUACAGUAGAAGUAAGUUAAUACUAUAAGUAAAAGUAAAAAUCAUAUAUAUUACAAUAAAAGGUCAGACAGUCUGAAUUAGUUGAUUAAUUGAUUGGGGUCAUCAUUGAUAUUCGGUACGGUUAGAUAAGAUGGCCGACUACGUCAACAAACAGAUGAUUGAAUUAAAAGAAGUUAAUCAAGAAAACCAGAAUAGAGCAACGAGGAGCGUGAAGACUAAGACCCAUCUCUCAGAUGGAAGACUAAGACUCUACAGGCUGGCUGCUGUGUGUUUAGGAGUGCUGUGUGUUCUACAAGUCACUCUCAACAUCUCCCUGAGGCUGGCUUUCUAUAACAGAGGCAAUGUGACUACAGAGAAAGACCUGCUACAGACCAGUUACAACACACUGACUGAAGAGAGAGACCAGCUACAGACCAGUUACAACACCCUGACUGAAGA
Oncorhynchus tshawytscha (Chinook salmon) is the source of this 561-nucleotide long non-coding RNA. RefSeq lists it as uncharacterized. Lineage: Eukaryota; Metazoa; Chordata; Actinopteri; Salmoniformes; Salmonidae. The record is from RefSeq and is a predicted model, not a curated record. The transcript is spliced from 3 exons.